Molecule: ribosomal RNA, 490 nt
Filed under: uncultured bacterium
Lineage: Bacteria
Description: partial 16S ribosomal RNA
Rfam family: Bacterial small subunit ribosomal RNA
Source: RNAcentral
GAUGAACGCUAGCUACAGGCUUAACACUUGCAAGUCGAGGGGCAGCAUGGUCUUAGCUUGCUAAGGCCGAUGGCGACCGGCGCACGGGUGAGUAACACGUAUCCAACCUGCCGUCUACUCUUGGACAGCCUUCUGAAAGGAAGAUUAAUACAAGAUGGCAUCAUGAGUUCACAUGUUCACAUGAUUAAAGGUAUUCCGGUAGACGAUGGGGAUGCGUUCCAUUAGAUAGUAGGCGGGGUAACGGCCCACCUAGCCUUCGAUGGAUAGGGGUUCUGAGAGGAAGGUCCCCCACAUUGGAACUGAGACACGGUCCAAACUCCUACGGGAGGCAGCAGUGAGGAAUAUUGGUCAAUGGGCGAGAGCCUGAACCAGCCAAGUAGCGUGAAGGAUGACUGCCCUAUGGGUUGUAAACUUCUUUUAUAAAGGAAUAAAGUCGGGUAUGUAUACCCGUUUGCAUGUACUUUAUGAAUAAGGAUCGGCUAACUCCGUG